RNAcentral lists this ribosomal RNA (465 nucleotides) under uncultured bacterium. RNAcentral's name for it is "bacterial SSU rRNA". It matches the Rfam family "Bacterial small subunit ribosomal RNA", at positions 917 to 1382 of the family's 1533-position model. The record is from RNAcentral.
GGGCCCGCACAAGCGGAGGAACAUGUGGUUUAAUUCGAUGAUACGCGAGGAACCUUACCCGGGCUCGAACGGCUUUAGAAUAUAUCAGAGAUGGUAUAGCCAGCAAUGGCUGAAGUCGAGGUGCUGCAUGGUUGUCGUCAGCUCGUGCCGUGAGGUGUCGGCUUAAGUGCCAUAACGAGCGCAACCCUUGUCGUUAGUUACCAUCAGGUUAUGCUGGGGACUCUAACGAGACUGCCACCGUAAGGUGUGAGGAAGGGGGGGAUGACGUCAAAUCAGCACGGCCCUUACGUCCGGGGCGACACACGUGUUACAAUGGUAGGUACAGAGGGCAGCUACCCAGUGAUGGGAUGCGAAUCUCUAAAGCCUAUCUCAGUUCGGAUUGGAGUCUGCAACUCGACUCCAUGAAGUUGGAUUCGCUAGUAAUCGCGCAUCAGCCAUGGCGCGGUGAAUACGUUCCCGGGCCUU